Molecule: long non-coding RNA, 619 nt
Filed under: Macaca mulatta (Rhesus monkey)
Lineage: Eukaryota; Metazoa; Chordata; Mammalia; Primates; Cercopithecidae
Description: lncRNA (ENSMMUG00000059059.1)
Source: RNAcentral
AUAGCAUGAGAGCCACUGGCAGAGUCGAUGGUCAGGCCAGGAUGGAAAUUCCAGUCCCUCUGGUACCACGUGGAUGCUCUAGGGAGAGUAGGGGUCUGAGACCCGCCAGAGGAUGAGGGACUCACAUAUGGACCAGCAGAAGGAGGUGCAGGGGAUGAGCGUGAAUUUCCACCAGCAGGGGAUGAGCGUGAAUUUCCACCAGCAGUGGGAUGAGCGUGAAUUUCCACCAGCAGGGGAUGAGCGUGAAUUUCCACCAGCAGCCAGUGAGCGUGAAUUUCCACCAGCAGGGGAUGAGCGUGAAUUUCCACCAGCAGGGGAUGAGCGUGAAUUUCCACCAGCAGUGGGUGAGCAUGAGUUUCCACCAGCAGGGGAUGAGCGUGAAUUUCCACCAGCAGGGGAUGAGCGUGAAUUUCCACCAGCAGUGGGUGAGCAUGAGUUUCCACCAGCAGUGGGUGAGCAUGAGUUUCCACCAGCAGCCGAUGAGCGUGAGUUUCCACCAGCAGGGGAUGAGCGUGAAUUUCCACCAGCAGUGGGUGAGCGCUCCUGCUGCUCCACAUCCUCCCCAGCAUCUGGUGUGGUCAGUGUUCCCAUUUCAGCUUUUCUAGUGGGCUUGCAGUGA